Long non-coding RNA from Dalotia coriaria, 3664 nucleotides. RefSeq lists it as uncharacterized. The transcript has 3 exons. The record is from RefSeq and is a predicted model, not a curated record. Lineage: Eukaryota; Metazoa; Arthropoda; Insecta; Coleoptera; Staphylinidae.
AUGGUUCGCACGCAGUCGUCGCAAUUCUCCUUUCUUCGGAUUUAAUUCGGUAACUCGUAUUACAUUCGGUGUUCAUAGUGAUUAUUGUUUUUUAUUGUGUCUCGCUAAUGAUUUAUCGCUUAUAAGAUGUUCGCGGAAUGCAAAUAUGCAAGUAUUUGUUUGUGAUCGGGCUGCCGACGGAUGCCGUUUACGAUGGAAAUUUUACAGUACUAACCAUAUUAGCCGUGCCUUGGAGUCCCAGGAGUUCUGCAUUGUAGUGGCCGUGCCUUGGAGUUCCAUGACUUCUGCAUUGGUAAGUUUAUAAUUCAAUCAUAUAUUUCGUUUUAAUUUCUGCGUCCUCCAUUAGUUUGUAUUUACAUUGUUUUGAUUUAUCGCGUUCCACCGCGUCUUGCAAAUACAUAAGAUAGUCGCGUACCCGGCAGAUACAUCCCAAAAUUAAUUGUUUAGUUUUUCCUUAGCUUACAAAAGCGCAAGAGUUGUACUUGAAGAUGCAAUUCCGCGGAAUCAUGUCCUAACCAUCCCUAUCCCCUUUUGUCUCUGUUUCUUCAAUUCCAACUAUUUUGGAUUGAAGAUUCUAAAUCUUCGGAGAAUUCUUUAUAAAAUUUAUUACUUUCUUUGGUGAAUACGUAAUCCAUGUUAUUUUUUAUAAAUAUAAAAAUAUUUAUUGAUUAAAAUUACAACGUGAUUUUUUGGAUUUACAGGUUUUUUUUUUUUUUUUUUUUUUGUUGAGUUUAACAUGUUUCGCCCAGAGGGCAUCUUCAUAAACUUUAUAAAAUAAAAUAUUCAAAUUGUGAAAAUAGGAGAGGUCGAGAAUAAUUCAUAAACAAAAAUUUGCUUAGGACAAUUCUUGUUUCAUCUCUCUGAGACUUUUUCAUUUUCAUUUUUAGGACAAUUUUGAAAUUUUGUAUGUUUUUAUUUACUGUAUUAUUCAUAGAUGAGACUAGCAUCAACCAAAAAUUUCUAAUUUAUCAACGUUUGUGUAUAAACAACAUUUUUUGUGUCGCGUUGCCAUCUGCUCAUAUCGCAUGCAGUAUAUUUCAAUUUAGUUUUGAUCGCAUAUACCCUACGGAAUAUAAUUAUUUUUAAUUUUUACCUGAUAGAGAAUUUUCCUAUCUUGCACAUAAUUUGAUCGCCUGCGCUUUUAGUUUAAAAGAGGGCAGUGGUAGAAGUGACUCGUGGUGUUCAGGGCACCAUAUGAGGGUAGCGGUAGAAGUGACUCGUAUUCAGGGCACCGUACAAAGGUAGCGGAGGAAGUGACUUGUGUUCAGGGCACCGUAUGAGGGUAGCGGUAAAACUUUCACUUUUUAGUCACGAUUUUGGACCUUUUCCCCACAGAAUUAUAUUAUUUUUAAUUUAAGCCUUAUAGAGAGUUUUCUAAUCUUUCAUAUUCUUUAAUUUACUGGUCGCUUUUAUGGCUUUUAACGCACUACCGGUUUUAGUUUAAAAGAUAUUCAUUAUCGAAAAUCCUCGAAUAAAAAUGAUGAUUUUAUAGAGAUUUGAAGAAUUCCUUUUGGUGUGUGAGAGACUACGGUAAAUUUGGGAAUUUUAAAGAUUUUUCAAGUUUUAUUCAUGUAAUUAUUUGUAAUAAUUAAAUUUCCAUUUUAAAUUUUCUCGGUCAAUUUUACUAACUCUGUCGUCUUAUAGUUACACUGCUGGCCUCAUGAUACCUUUCUGUUUGGCUCGUAGACAAUACAAGUUGUAAUAAUUUUCUGUUACCUCUGAUUUAUACUAUUUUAUAUGAGAGUGCCCGGUCCCGGAAAUCUCACGCGUAAUUUUCACUUCUUUUAGACAUUGUUUAUUAUCACUAUUGGUUAUUACUGAACCGUUUGCGCUCUUUUAAUACCGUAGGCAAUAGUUCUAAAUAUUAAAUGCGUUUGAGAUUUGUUUGGUGUUCAUUUCUACCUGCUUUUCGUGGUUUGUAAUACAAACUUUGUAUAUAAACAACUUUUUUGUCGUCUUGAACCAGCUCGCGCUACAAACGUUCGUACGUUUGAUGGUUGAAUUUUCAAUUUGUGACACCUUGUAUAAUUGUUUUUCUUCACAUCCCUGAAAAUUUUGCUUUGACUGUUAUUAGAAUUUGACUUUGAAUUUUCUUUUUGUAACACCCUGUAUAUUUGUUUCCAUUUUCCAUCACCUAGAAAAUGGGCUAAAUUUGCUAAUUUGUAGUUGUUUUAACAUAACACGCGAACGCGAUGUCACAAUAAGUUCGAAAUUAUUUUUCCAGAUGCAGAAUUUAAUUUUGUAUCUCCCUGAAUCGAAAUUUAUUGCAAAAAGUAUCCGUAACGCGAGUUAUAUUGAAAGUUGUGUGUGUGUGUGUGUGCUACGGAGUACUCGUUGCGCUAGGAAUUGUAGUUUUUUCAGCAUAACACGCGAUCGCGGUGUCACAAUAAGUUCGGAAUAAUUUUUCAAGAUGCAGAAUUUAAUUCUGUAUUUCCCUGUAUUGCAAUUUAUUGCGAGAAAAAUCCGUAACGCGAGUAAUAUUGAAAGUUGUGUGUAUACGCACUAGUUAGUACUCGUUGCGCUAGGAGUUAUAGUUUUCUGAUAUAACACGCGAACGGGGUGUCACAAUAAGUUCGGAAUAAUUUUUUCAGAUGCAGAAUUUAAUUCUGUAUCUCUUUGUAUUGAAAUUUAUUGCAAGAAAACUCCGAAACUCGAGUUAUAUUGAAAGUUGUGUGUAUACGCACUAGAACUCGUUGCGCUAGGAAUUGUUGUUUUUUUAGUAUAACACGCGAACGCGUUAUCACAAUAACUUCGGAAUAAUUUUCCCAGGUGCAGAAUUUAAUUCUUUAUCACCCUGUAUUUGAAUUUGUUGCGAGAUAAUUCCGUAACGUGAGUUAUAGGGACAUUUGUGAAUGCAUGCAGAAGAGUGCAGAAUUAUAUUUACACAUCAUGUUGCAAUUCCAUCUCAGCCCGUUUAUCGGGGUUUGUGUAUAAACAACUUUUUUAUCGCGUGGAUCGCUAUUGAUACGUCUAGUAGGUUGACAAUUAGUUACUGUCCGUAAAAUGUAUAUGAUACGCGAUUUUAAUAUUUCCUUCCGCGUGUGCGUGCCGUCGGCCGGCACUUUGUCUAGAUAUUGCGUCGAAUAUAUAAUCUCAAUAUUGCAAUAAUAUUUAUAAUAGUGUUGCAUUUAAUUGUCACCUUCUUCAUUGUUACUUUCUCGUUCUUUAUUUUUAAGCCAUCCCGGGAGAAACAGGUAACUACUUAAAUUUUCUGAUAUCUUUUGCUUGACCAAACCAUUUCUUUUUAAAUAUUGUCAUUUUAUUUUGAUAACACCCUAUAUAUUUGUUUUUAUUAAUUUCACAUCAAUACUUGACCAUUUUUUUGUUUUCAACUGUUUUCUUUCUUGAACUGUAGAUUAUCUUUUUGUAACACCCUGAAUAUCCCUUUCCAAUCUGCAAAAAAUGUGUUAAGUUUAUUGUUGCAAGUUUCCUUUGGAAGUAUGAAUUUUUCGUUUGGUAACACCCUGUACAUUAGUUUUCCGUGAUAAAUAGUUAUUUUCUACUGCCCAUGUGUUAGUGUUUUUAAUUUGGUGCUUGCCUGUAUGUGCGCGAUGAUGCAGGUCGCAAGUCCUGUUUGAAUAUGUCGGCAUGAAUUUUGUUGACUUGUAAAAUCUAAACUUUUAUUAUUUUACAUUGUAUUUAUUAAUAAAGAAAUGUUAAGAAA